GAUGAACGCUGGCGGCGUGCCUAAUACAUGCAAGUCGAGCGAACAGAUGAGGAGCUUGCUCCUCUGACGUUAGCGGCGGACGGGUGAGUAACACGUGGAUAACCUACCUAUAAGACUGGGAUAACUUCGGGAAACCGGAGCUAAUACCGGAUAAUAUAUUGAACCGCAUGGUUCAAUAGUGAAGGACGGUUUUGCUGUCACUUAUAGAUGGAUCCGCGCCGCAUUAGCUAGUUGGUAAGGUAACGGCUUACCAAGGCAACGAUGCGUAGCCGACCUGAGAGGGUGAUCGGCCACACUGGAACUGAGACACGGUCCAGACUCCUACGGGAGGCAGCAGUAGGGAAUCUUCCGCAAUGGGCGAAAGCCUGACGGAGCAACGCCGCGUGAGUGAUGAAGGUCUUCGGAUCGUAAAACUCUGUUAUUAGGGAAGAACAAAUGUGUAAGUAACUAUGCACGUCUCGACGGUACCUAAUCAGAAAGCCACGGCUAACUACGUG
This 497-nucleotide ribosomal RNA is filed under the name uncultured bacterium. RNAcentral describes it as "partial 16S ribosomal RNA". It matches the Rfam family "Bacterial small subunit ribosomal RNA", at positions 28 to 507 of the family's 1533-position model. The record is from RNAcentral.